CCCCGCCCCGCCCCCCGGCGCGAAGGACCUGCGGAUCGGGGUGGACAGAGGCAUUGUUUAUAUUCUCUUGCUUGAUGCCCAAAACAAACACAGAGGAAGAAAAUCCAGCUGUUUCCAGAGCGAUGGAAUCAGGAGUCGGGUGUUGGAAAAGCGCCAGUUGUCACGAGAUUUGUAACCCAGGCUGAAAUGUCCUGUGCUUGCAUUUUGACCUUUGUCUAGCACCCACGGCUGGCCUGCCUUCUCUGCCUCAGCUCCUCCUGACUGGCGUCCUUGCGUUUGGAUCUGUGCUGGGAUUGGUUCUGAGACAACAUAAACACAGCGUGACUCAUGGAUUUGAAGAAGUGUAAGGGUGAAGAACGUGAAGUCAUCAAGGUUAGGAGAAGCAAUGCCAGCGAUGAACAUUGGACUUCUAAUCACGUUCAAGGAGAGAUGAUUCCAUUCAUUUUAUAAGGCUUUCACCCGAUUCUCGGUAUCGUGUCGGUGCGGGCAUGGGGCACUGACAAAUGGAGGUUCCACCGAGAUUUGAACUUUGAAUCCAGUGAUCCGAGAUCAGAAAGACAAGGUCUCCUGACAGGACGUCCUGGGAAGCCAGCAAAGAAGCAGGGACUUAUUGGGGUAAGAUGGGCUAAAAAAGGCCUCGGUGAUUUGGGCUAGCGUGAGUAAAACUUGUAAUAAAAAAGGGACAAGGUAAUGGUAAGGUAUUUUUGUGUAUGCGCUCUUUUAGAGUUAUGUUUUAGUCUUUGGACCAUGACUAGAGAGUUUACGCCCUAGAUAUGAGAGAGAAUGAAUGGGUUUAAGAGAAAUAGUCCUCCCAGACUCUCCACAGAUGCUUUGGAACUUUUUCAGAGCUCUCGUAGGAACAGAAGGAAGGCAGGAGACGUCCUGCCUCUCUGCUGGCUCCUAUUGGAAAAAUGAUGUGUAUUGUCUGUCCU
Molecule: small RNA, 932 nt
Filed under: Rattus norvegicus (Norway rat)
Lineage: Eukaryota; Metazoa; Chordata; Mammalia; Rodentia; Muridae
Description: uncharacterized LOC102554909
Source: RNAcentral